UUUUUUUUUGUGUGCCCAUGAGACACUGACCACUUGUCAUUACCAGUAGCUAGCCUAGUUGGUUAGCACUUUGGUUUGAAUCUUGUAGGUCGAAGGAUCAAAUUCCCAUGGCCUCUCUUUUAUAUUCAUCUAUGUAUUUUGUUUUGCAUGCAUGUUGCAUCCUUAUUAUGUUUUGUGUUGCCCGUAUCUUUUAUACCGUAACCCCGUUGGAGAUGUGCCAUUAAUGUGUAGUGUUUGAUUGUGUGAAUUGUCAUGUCGUGACUUGCAUAUAUUCAACUGCUCAUGCAUCAUUUGUGUCGUGCAUCGUGUGGUGAAUAUCGUGUGUUGAUUCUUGUUUCCGGUUUUCCCCGUCUCGAUAGAGUCCGCAAGCGUGUCGGAUGUGACGACCCGUUCGACUACGUCGGUUCGUCUGCUUCACGGAGACAUUCUUCUUCCAAGCGGGAUCUCAGGCAAGAUGACCAUUUCCCUAGAUACCAUUACUAUCAUUGCCAUGCUAGUUUUAUCGCUUCUAUCGAUUAUGUCUCGUUGCCUACCACAUGUUAAAUAUCAGCCUCUCAACAAUGCCAUGAAAACCUUCAACCUGUUCGACCUAGCAAACCACUGAUUGGCUAUGUUACUGCUUGCUUAACCCUGUUGAUAGCGUUGCUAGUUGCAGGUGCAGUUGCUUCCAUGUGAAAACAUGGGUUCCUUGUUAUAUCACCAUAUUUAAAUGCUAUUUUAAUUUAAUGCACCUAUAUACUUGGUAAAAGGUGGAAGGCUCGGCCUUUCUAGCCUGGUGUUUUGUUCCACCUUUGCCCCCUUAGUUUUCGGCUACCGGUGUUAUGUUCCAUAAAUGAGCGCUCCUAACACGAUCGGGGUUGUUAUGGGGACCCCCUUGAUAAUUCGUUUUAGAUUAAGACUGGUCUGGCAAGGCCCAACUUUGGUACUACAUUUGCCUAAACACCUAAUAAAAUUGCAUAGGGACUUUCCGGACCCCGAGGAUAAUUUAAUCAACCCCCGGGCCAGUGCUCCUCAUGAGUGUUGGUCCAAAUUGGCAGACAACGGGGCCACCGCGGGGAAACCCGAGGUUUGGUUCUCCUAGUGUGACCCAUCCGUCGUGUCCUGAGAACGAGGUACGCGACUCCUAUCGGGAUCGUCGACACGUCGGGCGGCCUUGCUGGGUUAGUUUUACCUUUGACGAAAUAUCUUGUGCAUCGAGAUUCCGGUGAUGCUUUGGGUAAACUCAGAGUUGAGGUUUUCCACUAGGGAAUCCGACGAGAUCACGAGCUUCAUGAUUGAGGAUUUCUAUGCGGCUUGUGGUAAUUUGUGAUGGACUAGUUGGAGCACCCCUGCAGGGUUAAAUCUUUUCGGAAAGACGUGCCCGCGGUUAUGUGGCAACGUGGAAACUUUGUUUAACACUGGUUCUAGAUAACUUGAAGUCAACUUAUUUAAAACUUGCCAACUAUGUGCGUAACCGUGACUGUCUCCUUCGUGAGUUCUUACUCCGAUCGAGGACACGGUGGGGUUAUGUCUGACAUAGGUAGGUGUUCAGGAUCAUUCCUUUGAUCAUCAGUAGUAACGUCCGUUAUGCGUAGAUCUUCCCCCUCUUAUUUCUUGGACUCGUAAGUUUAGCCACCUCAUAUAUGCUUAGCCGCUGCUGCAACCUCACCACUUAACCAUACCUCACUCGUUAAUCUUUGCUAGUCUUGAUACCUUUGGAAAUGAGAUUGCUGAGUCCCCUGUGGCUCACAGAUUACUACAACACCAGUUGCAGGUACAGGUAAAGGUUACUCGACGCGAGCGCGUUGAUUGUUCAUCUGGAGUUGCUUCUUCUUCUUCUUCAUCAUCGAUCUAGGAUGGGUUCCAGGCCGGCAGCCUGGGAUAGCAAGGAUGGACGUCGUUUCAUUUUCUCGUUUGUUUUCGUCCGUAGUCGGACCCUGCCCUUCUUCAUGAUGUUUAUGUAAUGUACUGUUGUGACUCUGAUGUAGCUUGUGGCGAGUGUAAGCCAACUCUCUUUAUAUAUCUCUUCUUUUCAGUACAUGUACUUGUAACGAUAUCCAUUCUUGCGACACGACGAGAUGCGCUUCUAUCCCUGACGAGGCCUUCGUGCCAAAUUGAGGAUAGGGUCGCAUCUUGGGCGUCACAUGGCUAUAUCGUGUAGUUUGGUAAGAUGGGCUACGACCGUCUCAGAUUCAGAACCGUGAAAAGGAUCAGAUUCGACUAAAGAGAUUAUCUCAGGAUCGACAGAGAAUUCAUAAUCCUUAUCGGUGAUAAAGAUAGGCGAAGUGGCAAACUUCGGGUCAUAUUUCAUCCUAGCUUUCAGAGAUUUUUUCUUCCACUUGAGAAGUAAUUUCUCAGCGUCAUAGGCAUCCUUACACGCAAGAAAAUCCUUGGCUAUCUCUCCCUCCAUAACGUAACCCUCAGGUAUAUCAGGCAAUUCAUAUCUAGGAGAGCUAGAUCUAGCAGGAGCAAAAGCAGGUUCUAUCUCAAUAGUAUCGGCAGUUUCAGAAGCAUCANAUCAGGCAUAAUAUCACGCAUAGCAUCUCUAGCAGUAGCAUCAUAAGCAUCAUCAAGCACAGGCGACAUAUCAAGAUUUCUAGCAGGAGGUGAUGUCGCAAACUUACUCAUAACUGAAGGUGAAUCAAGUGCAGAGCUAGAUGGCAGUUCCUUACCUCCCCUCGUAGUUGAGGGCAAGACUUUGGUUUUUGGAUCCUUUAGAUUCUUCAUAGUGAUCAGCAGAUAUAAGUCCCAAGUGACUCAGGGAAUAUAGCAAUACCUCCCCGGCAACGGUACCAGAAAAAUGUUGCUUCUGUGACAACAGACCUUCCCCUGCAACGGCACCAGAAGAAUGCUGCUAGCACUCCCCGGCGGCGAUACUAGAAGAAUGUUGUUGAUGGCCCACCAGCGCGUGGGUUCGCGGCAGUUUUCGAGGGUAGAGUAUUCGACCCAAAUUUGUUGAUUCGCCAGGCACGAGGUGAGAGAAUACUUCGAGUAUUAGCAGCUGAAUGUAUCAGAUUCAACCACACCUGAAAGAUUAGUAUCUGCAAGCAAAGUAGUAGCAGCAAAGUAGUAUGAUAACAACGGUGUCAGAAACGAUCUGUUGAUGGCAGACUAUUCCUAACUGUCGUAUCAAUGGCGCCAGAAGUUGCUCGUUGACGGAAAUUGUCUUUUCCAGUCAACAACGAGCGAACCAGAAUUGUAGCAGGUAGCAGCAGUGUAACGAGUAAUAGCAGUGGCAAGGAACAUCAGUAGUGACAACAGUAGCAAGUAGCAAUAGUAGUAACAGCACCAGCAACAGUAGUAACAACAGUAGCAGCAGAGCAAGACAAGUAACAGCAGCAGUGGGACAAACUCGUAGGCAAUGGGUCCGUGAUUCGUUUGGAUGAUAUUCAUCAUGCAACAGUUAUAACACGGAGAGAUAUGUGGCUAGCUCCCGUUCGUCAAUGUGAUGUAGGCAUGCAUUUCGUGUGUAGUCAUACGUGCUUAGGGAAAAGAACUUGCAUGACAUCUAUUGUCCAUCCCUCCCAUGGCAGCGGGGUCCAAAAGGAUACUACAGGAUAUUAAGGUUCUCCUUUUAAUAAAGAACCGGAACAACGCAUUAGCACUUGGUGAACACAUGAACUCCUCAAACUAUGGUCAUCACCGGGAGUGGUUCCGGUUAUUGUCACUUCGGGGUUGCCAGGUCAUAACACAUAGUAGGUAACUACAACUUGCAAGAUCGGAUCUAAAACACACAUAUAUUGGUGACAACAUAAUAAUUUCAGAUCUGAAAUCAUGGCACUCGGGCCUUAGUGACAAGCAUUAAGCAUGGCAAAGUAGUAGUAACAUCAAUCUCAGAACAUAGUGGAUACUAGGGAUCAAUCCCCGUCAAAACUAACUCGAUUACAUGAUAGAUCUCAUCCUACUCAUCACCGCCCAGCGAGCCUACGAAUAGAUUACUCACAAACGAUGAAGAGCUUCAUGGAGUUAGAGAGGGAAGAAGGUUGAUGAUGACGAUGGCGACGAUUUCCCCACUCUGGAGCCCAAAACGGACUCCAAAUCUGUCCUCGAGAUGAAGAACAGGAUGUGGCAGUGUCUCCGUAUCGCAAACGCGACAAAAUCUUCUGUUCUGAUUUUUUUUCUGGGCGAAAGUGAAUUUAUAGAGCUGAGAUUGGGGGCGGCAGACCCACGUGGGCCCCACAAGCUUGGUUGCCGCGACCAGGGGGCGCGGCAACAGGGCUUGUGGCCCACUGGCCCAUCCCCUUCGGUGGAUCUUUGCGCAGGUAUUUUUCAUAUUUUCCAGAAAUACUCUCCGUAAAUUUUCAAGACAUUCCGAGAACUUUCAUUUCUGCACAAAAACAACACCAUGGCAAUUCUGCUGAAAACAGCGUCAGUCCGGGUUAGUUCCAUUCAAAUCAUGCAAAUUAGAGUCCAAAACAAGGGCAAAAUAGUUUGGAAAAGUAGAUACGAUGGAGACGUAUCACCCACCACUAACUUCGCAUCGUUUUUAUUUUUUGCAUCUUUUUUUGUGUCGUUUUUUUGCAACGUUUUUUGCGUCGCUUUUUUGCAUCGUGUGUGAACGUGCUGGCUCUUUCACAUUUGACCCCGAUCACAGUCCACUCAUCAAACCAACCACAGUUUCCCAUGCGUGUACACUCCUGAUGCCGCGGUGGGUGUGAAAACGGGGUGGUUUAGAGUUUAUGUUACAAUGGCUAUUUAAGCCGGACGGACGCUCCCCUCCCCCAGCCGUAGCUCUUCGCCUGCUCCGUUUUCCCGCCGAGACCCGAGCACUCCCCUCUCCCAGCCCAUCAGCCAUGCCACCACGCUGCCAAUACUACACGAUCGAAGAACGUCUCUACCUCCUUCGGCGGGCCCAAUUCUAGAGGGAAGCGGGGCUACCUCUAGAGGAUUUCGGGGAGCCGGAGGAGGAGGCGCCGCCGCAGGAGCUGAAGGUGGAGGCAUCGCCGGAGGAGGAGGAGGCGCCACAGGAGCCAUAGGUGGAGGCAUCGCCGGAGGAGGAGGCGGCGCCGCAGGAGCCGAACGUGGAGGCACCGCCGCAGGAGCCAGAAGUGGAGGCACCGCCGGUCUACUAUGUGUGGCACGACCAAGUGGAGAUCCUCAACUCCAUCUGCUCGAAAGCACCUGCGUAGGCCCGACGUCUUCGUCAGCAACAGAUGCAGGUAGCGUGGCCGGCGUAGGAGGAGGCACAGGUGGUGUCCCAGGAGGACCAGGCUCCGGUGCAGGCCGAUCAAGCCAUCUCCGACAACGAAGACGCAUAGUGCACUAGGCAGUACGUAGGAUAUAUAUUGUAGGCUUCCCUAUAUUGUAUGCUUUCGUUAUUAUGCUCUCUGAGCUAUGUUUGUUGAUGCUUCAGCAUGUAUGCUUUCGUUAUUAUGCUCUCUGAACUAUGUUUGUUGAUGCUUAAAAAUGAUGAUGCUUAAAAAAAUAUAUUACAUGCUUUUUGUUGAUGGUUCAAAGCCCUAAACCCUAACCCUAAACGUUGCACUGCACCCUAGCCUUGGUCUAUGGUACUUGGAAGGUGGAUACGCGUGCGAGAAGACAGGAACCAGUGGCAGCGACUGUCGUUGCAUCCGUGACGACGCGCAUGCAUGCAGCCUAGCUCGAUCACAUGGCAUGCACAACAGGCUUCGCCGCUUUGGUAUCAUGGAGGCGCACGUCGAUCGGUAUGCCCUAGAGUUUAAUUGCCAUGCUGAAUUGAUGCUACGGUGUUCAAAGGCUGAGACAUUGUGAACUGUGAAUCAAUCGAGGAGGCGACAGACGCUGCGUCCCGUGGCGGCUCACAGGAAGGCUGCAUCCGUGGCAGGGCGCAUCAACGAAUGCUCGCAGGCAUGCAGGCGGUUCAUGUCGUGCAUGCAUAGCUUUAAUUGCCACGUUGAAUAAAUGUGAGUGGAUCGGGGAGACAAGUGUGUGACAUGAGACGAACCAGCAGCAGCGACCGUCCCUGCGUCCGUGGCGGCUAGCAUGCAGAAAGAGGCCGGUCAGCGUACGUGGCGGCUCGUGUGCAGAAAGAGGGGACGUUAGCGCAUCAUGGUGGCGGGCAUCAGCGCAUGAAGGUAGGCUAGCUAUGUGCAUGCAUCGCAGGCUCAUGUCAUUACGGCGCGCAGGGCCUAGCAGCGACCGAUGGAGGCAGGCUAGCUACGUGCAUGCAUAGCAGGCUCAUGUCGUUACGGCGCGCGCAGGGCCCAACAAUCUAACCAUGGCCCAACGGGCUAACCGCGACACCAUCCGCUAUGACCCCACUCAUCAGGUCCAAUGGGGGACACAGUCAACGCGGCCCCACUCGUCAGAGUUAACGGUCAAAGCACUGACCCGACGGCAUCCAUGGUUUGUGACCAGUUCUAAGGGUUUCGAACAAGGGAGUGGGGAAAAGUGAGAAAAGUUAACAGCAUGAGGAUGAAUGAGUAGAGCUAACGAACCAGGGGCACAGAAAUAAAAAUCCCAUUUUAUUAUUGCCUCUAGGUCAUAUUUCCCACAGUCUCCCACUUGCACUAGUCAAUAAUCUAGCUUCACAUCUCUAUGUGAUUUACAAUGUAAUGAAUCUAACACCCAUACAGUUCUCGUGUUGAUCAUGCUUUGCUCGUGGAAGAGGCUUAGUCAGUGGAUCUGCAACAUUCAGAUCCGUGUGCACUUUGCAAAUAUUUAUUUACUCCUCCUUGAUGUAAUAGCGGACAUUGAAGCGUCGCUUUAUGUGUAUGGUCCUCUUAUGAAACCUUGGUUCCUUAGCUAGAGCAAUGGCACUAGUGUUGUCACAGAAUAGAUUGAUUGGGUCCAAUGCGCUUGGCACUACUCCAAGAUCUGACAUGAACUGCUUCAUCCAGACACCCUCCUUAUCCGCCUCUGAGGCAACUAUGUACUCCGCUUUGCAUGUAGAAUCAGCUAAGACGCUUUGCUUGGAACAACACCAGCUUACCGCACACCCAUUAAGAAUAAAUACGUAUCCAGUUUGAGACUUAGAGUCAUCCGGAUCAGUGUCAAAGCUUGCAUCGAUGUAACCCUUCACGACGAGUGAUACGUCUCCAACGUAUCUAUAAUUUUUGAUGGUUUCAUGCUAUUACCUUGUCAAACUUUAGAUGCUUUGUAUGCCUUUUAUAUCUUUUUUGAGACUAAUUUAUUAACUUAGUGCCAAGUGCCAGUUCCUGUUUUUUCCAUGUUUUUUACCCCUUUUAGAGGAGGAUUUUAAACGGAGUCCAAACGGAACGAAACUGCCAAAAAUAUUUUUUCCGAAACAGAAGAAGAUCGAGAAGCCUGAGAAUCAAGGUAGGGGGCCAGCAGGGACCCCACAAGCCCCCUAGCCGUGGCCACGAAGGGUCGCGCCUCCAAGGCUUGUGGGCUCCCUGGGCCACCUCUGCCCUAGGACUUCCGCCUAUAAAUUCCCUAAAAUCCCAGAAAAAAUCAAGAGAUCAUCGAAAGUACUUUUCUGCCGCCGCAAGCUUGUGUCUCCGCAAGAUCCCAUCUGGGGCACGUUCUGGUGCCCUGCCGGAGGGGGGAUUCGGAUACAGAGGGCUUCUUCAUCAACACCAUGACAUCUCCGAUGAUGCGUGAGUAGUUCACCAUAGACCUAAGGGUCCAUAGCUAGUAGCUAGAUGACUUCUUCUUUCUCUUGGAUCUUCAAUACAAAGUUCNCUUCAUGGAGAUCUAUUCGAUGUAAUCUUCUUUUGCGGUGUGUUUGUCAAGAUCCGAUGAAUUGUGGAUUUAUGAUCAGAUUAUCUAUGAAUCUUAUUUGAGUUUCUUCUGAUCUCUCUUAUGCAUGAUUUCAUAUCCUUGUAAUUCUCUUCGAGUUGUGGGUUUUGUUUGGCCAACUAGAUCUAUGAUUCUUGCAAUGGGAGAAGUGCUUGGUUUUGGGUUCAUACCGUGCGGUGACCUCACCCAGUGACAGAAGGGGUAGCGAGGCACGCAUCGUGUUGUUGCCAUCAAGGGUAAAAAGAUGGGGUUUUCAUCAUAGGUUUGAGAUUAUCCCUCUACAUCAUGUCAUCUUGCUUAAGGCGUUACUCUGUUCGUCAUGAACUCAAUACACUAGAUGCAUGCUGGAUAGCGGUCGAUGUAUGGAGUAAUAGUAGUAGAUGCAGAAAGUAUCGGUAUACUUGUCUCAGACGUGAUGCCUAUAUGUAUGAUCAUUGCCUUAGAUAUCGUCAUGACUUUGUGCGGUUCUAUCAAUUGCUCGAUAGUAAUUUGUUCACCCACCAUGAUAUUCGCUAUUUUGAGAGAAGCCUCUAGUGAACACUAUGGCCCCCGGGUCUACUCCACACCAUAUUUUCAGCCUUACACUUUUUCUGCGUUGCACUUUCCGCCUUCAGAUCUCACUUUGCAAUCAAUCUUGAAGGGAUUGAAAACCCCUUUAUAGCGUUGGGUGCAAGCUCUUUGUGUUUGUGCAGGUACUCUGGACUUGGCGAGAUUCUUCUACUGGAUUGAUACCUUGGUUCUCAAACUGAAGGAAAUAUUUACUGCUCCUGUGUUGCAUCACCCUUUCCUCUUCAAGGGAAAACCAACGCAAGCCCAAGAGACGACAGAAGGUUUCUGUCGACAUAGGAGAAGGAUUUCUGGCGCCGUUACCGGGGAGGAUCAAGUCAAGAACUCAUCCAAGUAAGUGUCGCAAACACAUCUCUUGCAUUUACUUUUUUUUCCAGGUUCCUCUCGUUUUCCUCUCCCCCACUUCACCAAUUUGCCUUUUUCGUUUGCCUAUUCGUUCGCCCUUUUUCUCGCUUGCUCUUUGUUCGCUUGUGUGCUUGCUUGCUUGCCGAAGUCACCAUGACUGAAAACACCAAACUUUGUGACUUCUCGAAUACUAAUAAUAAUUAUUUUAUUAGUACUCCGAUUGCUCCCGCCACUAGUGCGGAGUCAUACGAAAUCAAUGCCGCUUUGCUGAAUCUUGUUAUGAAAGAGCAAUUUUCCGGCCUUCCUAGUGAAGAUGCUGCAUCCCAUCUUAAUACCUUCAUAGAGCUUUGCGAUAUGCAAAAGAAGAAAGAUGUGGAUAAUGAUAUGAUUAAAUUGAAGCUUUUUCCUUUCUCGUUGCGAGAUCGAGCAAAAACUUGGUUUUCGUCUUUGCCCAAAAAUAGUAUCGAUUCUUGGGAUAAGUGCAAAGAUGCUUAUAUAUCCAAGUAUUUUCCGCCGGCUAAGAUUAUCUCUCUCCAUAAUGAUAUCAUGAACUUUAAGCAACUUGAUCAUGAACAUGUUGCACAAUCUUGGUAGAGAAUGAAAUUGAUGAUUAGAAAUUGUCCCGCUCAUGGCUUGAGUCUUUGGAUGAUUAUACAAAUCUUCUACGCUGGCUUGAAUUUCGCUUCUAGAAAUAUCUUGGACUCCGCCUCAAGUAGAACGUUCAUGGAAAUCACGUUAGGAGAAGCCACGAAACUCCUAGACAAUAUCAUGACGAACUACUCUCAGUGGCACACUGACAGGUCACCUACUACUAAGAAAGUACACGCUAUAGAAGAAAUUAACUCGUUGAGUGCUAAGAUGGAUGAGUUAAUAAAUUUGGUUGCUAGUAGAAGUGCUCCUUUAGAUCCUAAUGAUAUGCCCUUGUCUUCUUUGAUUGAGAGUAGCAACGCUAGCUUGGACGUUAAUUUUGUUGGUAGGAAUAAUUUUGGCAACAACAAUGCUUUUAGAGGAAAGUAUGUUCCUAGGCCUUUUCCUAGUAACUCCUCUAAUAAAUUUGGCAACUCCUACAACAAUACUCAUGGAAAUUACAAUAUAUUACCCUCUGAUCUAGAGAGUAAUAUCAAAGAGUUUAUCAACUCGCAAAAAAAAUUAAUGCGUCCAUAGAGGAAAAACUACUCAAAAUUGACGAUUUGGCUAAGAGCGUUGAUAGAAUAUCUAGUGAUACCGAUGCUUUGAAAGUUAGAUGUUCUCCUCCCAAGAUCAAUAUGGAUGAAACUUUGAAAGCUAUGCAUGUUUCCAUGAGCGAGAGCAAAGAAAGAGCCGCCCAAAUUCGUGCUAGACAUGAAUGGCUUAAAAGGUGUGUUCCCGUGAUAAGAAUCACGAAGAUCUUAAGGUGCCUGGUGUGACUCCCAUUGAAUCUUUGUUUUCUUGUGUCAAACCUAAUGAUGAUGGGGCUGGAUAUAAAUCCACCUUGGUUGAAAUACGCCCCAAUGAUUCGGAGUCCAUCUAUCUUGAUGCUAAAAGCAUUAAAAGUGGAGUAGAAGAUAUUAAAACUUUGAGUAGUAAUGAAAUUACUACUUUGGAUUUCAAGGAAUUCAAUUAUGAUAGUUGCUCCUUGAUUUAAUGCAUUUCCUUGAUGCAAUCCAUGCUAAACUCUCCACACACUUAUAGCCAAAACAAAGCCUUUACCGAUCAUAUCCUCGAAGCCAUGAUAAAAUCUCUUGAAGAGAAAUUUGAAUUGGAAGUCUCUAUACCUAGAAAGCUUCAUGAUGAGUGGGAACCUACUAUCAAAAUAAAAAUCAAAAACUAUGAAUCCAAUGCUUUGUGUGAUUUGGGUGCUGGUGUUUCCGCGAUUCCAAAGUCUUUAUGCGAUGUUCUGGGUUGAGAUUGAAGAGUGUUCUCUUAAUUUGCAUCUUGCGGAUUCUACUGUCAAGAAACCCAUGGGAAGGAUCAAUGAUGUUCUUAUUAUUGCAAAUAGGAACUAUGUACCCAUGGAUUUCAUUGUGCUUGACAUUGAUUGCAAUCCUACAUGCCCUAUUAUUCUUGGUAGACCUUUCCUAAGGACUAUCGGUGCCAUCAACGAUAUGAAGGAAGGGAAUAUUAGAUUUCAAUUACCUUUAAAGAAGGGCAUGGAUCACUUUCCUAGAAAGAAAAUAAGAUUGACUUAUGAAUCCAUGAUGAGGGCCACUUAUGGUUUGAGCACCAAAGACGACGAUACGUGAUUAUAUCGCCUUAUGCCUAGCUAAGGGCGUUAAACAAUAACGCUUGUUGGGAGGCAACCCAAUGACUUUAUUUCUUUUUCUUUCUGUUUUGUUGCAUCCACACUAUCAUAAUUCUUUUAUGAUUGUGUUUUUUGUGUUUGAGCCAAGCAAAACCUUUAUGAUUAGUCUUGGUAAUGGUUGUUUGAUCCUGCUGGAAAAAGACAGAAACUUUUCGCUCACGAGAUGAUUUUUAAUUUUUAUGCAGAAAGAGCUUUUGAGUUGAUUCUUUUUGCUGCUGGUUGAUAUGCCUUUUUCCCAGGCAGUCGUAAGUUUUCAGAAUUUUUGAGGUACCAUAAGUAUACGAAGUAUAUAGAUUGCUACAGACUGGUCUGUUUUUGACAGAUUCUGUUUUUGUUGAGUUGGUUGCUUGUUUGGAUGAAACUAUGGUUAGUAUCGGGGGUACUAGCCAUGGAAAAGUUAGAAUACAGUAGCCCAACAUCAAUAUAAAUAGAAAUCAAGAUUGCUACAGUACCUAAAGAGGUGGUAGUUUGUUUUCUUGUGCUAAUGUUAUCACGAGUUUCUGUUUAAGUUUUGAGUUGUGAAGUUUUCAAGUUUUGGGUGAUGUCCUCAUGGACAAAGAGAUAAGGAGUGGAAAGAGCUCAAUCUUGAGGAUGCCCAAGGCAUCCCAAGCCAAAUUCAAGGACACCAGAAAGCCUAAGCUUGGGGAUGCCCCGGGAAGGCAUCCCCUCUUUCGUCUUCAAUCCAUCAGUAACAUUACUUGGAGCUAUAUUUUUAUUCACCACAUGAUAUGUGUUUUGCUUGGAGCGUCUUGUAUCUUAGGAGUCUUUUCUUUUUGUUGUGUCACAAUCAUCCUUGCUGCACACCUUUAGAGAGAUACAUUCACUCAUCGUGAUUUUGCUAGAAUGCUCAUAGUGCUUCACUUAUAUCUUUUGAGCUAGAUAAUUUUGCUCUUUGUGCUUCACUUAGAUCUUUUAGAACACGGCGGUGCGUGACUUGGUAGUUGAUCUAUGCUAUGAAAGUAGUCCCAAAGGAUAUAGGUACCCAAAGAGGAUACAAAAACCUCCAUCUUCAUGUGCAUUGAGUAGAAAGAGAAGUUUUGGUUCCUCUCAAUUAGUUUUCAGACGUGGAUUUGGUAAUACUAUAAGAGUUAUGUUAGUAGGGUGUUGUGAAUCUAGAAAUACUUGUGUUGAAGUUAGUGAUUCCCGUAGCAUGCACGUAUGGUGAACCGCUAUGUUAGGAAGUCGGAGCAUAAUUGAUCUAUUGAUUGUCAUCCUUUGUGUUGAGGUCGGGAUCGCGCGAUGGUUAACACCUACCAACCCUUCCCCUCAGAGUAUGUGUUUAGCACUUUGUUUCGAUUACUAAUAAAAACUUUCACAACAAGUAUGUGAGUUCUUCAUGACUAAUGUGAGUCCAUGGUAUAGAUGCACUUUCACCUUCCACCGUUGCUAGCCUCUCUAGUGUCGCGCAAUUCUCGCCGGUGCAUAAACCCACCAUAUGCCUUCCUCAAAACAGCCACCAUACCUACCUACUAUGGCAUUUCCAUAGCCAUUCCAAGAUAUAUUGCCAUGCAACUCCCACCGUUCCGUCUCAUGACUUGUGCCGUCACUCUAAUAUUGCCAUUUCAUGAUCGUAAGAUAGCUAGCAGAUGUUUCAACAUCAUACGCCAAGCUAGACCUUUGCACAUCUCGGUACACUGCCGGACGCAUUUCCUAUAGAAUAAUUUCUAAGCUUUGAGCUGUGAGUAAAUAAAAGUGUGAUGAUCAUCAUUAUUAGAGCAUUGUCCCAUGUGAGGAAAUAAAAAAAGAGGCCAAAGAGCCCAAAUGAAAAAAAGGAAAGAGAAAAAAAGAGGCCAAAGAGCCCAAAAAAAGCGAGAGAAAAAGAGAAGGGACAAUGCUACUAUCUUUUUCCACACUUGUGCUUCAUAGUAGCACCAUGUUCUUCAUGAUUGAGAGCCUCUCAUUUCGUCACCACCAUAUGCUAGUGGGAAUCUUCAUUAUAUAACUUAGCUUGUAUAUUCCAAUGAUGGGCUUCCUCAAAAUUGCCCUAGGUCUUCAUGAGCAAGCAAGUUGGAUGCACGCCCACUAGUUCUCCUUUUGAGCUUUCACAUACUUAUAGCUCUAGUGCAUCCUUUGUAUGGCAAUCCCUACUCAUUCACAUUGAUAUCUAUUAAUGGGCAUCUCCAUAGCCCUUUGAUACGCCGAGUCAAUGUGACCAUCUCCUCCCUUUUUGUCUCACAACCACCACCACACCCUAUUCCACCUAUAGUGCUAUAUCCAUGGCUCACGCUCAUGUAUUGCGUGAUAGUUAUAAAAAGUUUGAGAAAGUAAGAGUGCGAAAACAAUUACUUGGCCAAUACCGGGGUUGUGCAUGAUUUACAUUAGUUGUGUGAGGAUGAUGGAGCAUAGCCAGACUAUAUGAUUUUGUAGGGAUAACUUUCCUUGGCCUUGUUAUUUUGAAAGUUCAUGAUUACCUUGCUACUUUGCUUGAAGUAUUAUUGUUUUAAUGUCAAUAGCAAACUAUUGUUUUGAAUCUUACGGAUCUGAACAUUCAUGUCACAUGAAAGAAGUUGCAAAGGACAACUAUGCUAGGUAGCAUUCCACAUCAAAAAUUCAUUCUUUAUCACUUCCCUACUCGAGGACGAGCAGGAGUUAAGCUUGGGGAUCCUUGAUACGUCUCCAACGUAUCUAUAAUUUUUGAUGGUUUCAUGCUAUUAUCUUGUCAAACUUUGGAUGUUUUGUAUGCCUUUUAUAUCAUUUUUUGAGACUAACUUAUUAACUCAGUGCCAAGUAUCAGUUCCUGUUUUUUCCAUGUUUUUGACCCCUUUCAAAGGAGGAUUAUAAACAGAGUCCAAAUGGAACGAAACUGCCAAAAAGAUUUUUUCUGAAACAGAAGAAGAUCGGGAAGCCUAAGAAUCAGGGCAGGGGGCCAACAGGGAUCCCACAAGCCCCCUAGCCGCAGCCAGGGGGCCCGCGCCUCCCAGGCUUGUGGGCUCCCUAGGCCACCUCUGCCCUAGGACUUUCGCCUAUAAAUUCCCUAAAAUCCUAGAAAAAUCAAGAGAUCAUCGAAAGUACUUUUCCGCCGCCGCAAGCUUAUGUCUCCGCAAGAUCCCAUGUGGGACACGUUCUGGUGCCCUGCCGGAGGGGGAUUCGGAUACGGAGGACUUCUUCAUCAACACCAUGACCUCUCCGGUGAUGCGUGAGUAGUUCACCAUAGACCUACGUGUCCAUAGCUAGUAGCUAGAUGGCUUCUUCUCUCUCAUGGAUCUUCAAUACAAAGUUCCCCGUGAUCUUCAUGGAGAUCUAUUCGAUGUAAUCUUCUUUUGUAGUGUGUUUGUCGAGAUCCGAUGAAUUGUAGAUUUAUGAUCAUAUUAUCUAUGAAUCUUAUUUGAGUUUCUUCUGAUCUCUCUUAUGCAUGAUUUCAUAUCCUUGUAAUUAUCUUCGAGUUGUGGGUUUUGUUUGGUCAACUAGAUCUAUGAUUCUUGGAAUGGGAGAAGUGCUUGGUUUUGGGUUCAUACUGUGCGGUGACCUCACCCAGUGAUAGAAGGGGUAGCGAGGCACGCAUCGUGUUGUUGCCAUCAAGGGUAAAAAGAUGGGUUUUUCAUCAUUGGUUUGAGAUUAUCCCUCUACAUCAUUUCAUCUUACUUAAGGCGUUACUCUCUUCGUCAUGAACUCAAUACACUAGAUGCAUGCUGGAUAGCGGUCGAUGUGUGGAGUAAUAGUAGUAGAUGCCGAAAGUAUCGGUCUACUUGUCUCGGAUGUGAUGCCUAUAUGUAUGAUCAUUGCCUUAGAUAUCGUCAUGACUUUGCGCGGUUGUAUCAAUUGCUCGACAGUAAUUUGUUCACCCACCGUGAUAUUUGCUAUUAUGAGAGAAGCCUCUAGUGAACACUAUCGCCCCCGGGUCUACUCCACACCAUAUUUUCAGCCUUACACUUUUCUUCGUUGCACUUUCCGCCUUCAGAUCUCACUUUGCAAUCAAUCUUGAAGGGAUUGACAACCCCUUUAUAGAAAUUGGUGCAAGCUCUUUGUGUUUGUGCGGGUACUCUGGACUUGACGAGAUUCUCCUACUGGAUUGAUACCUUGGUUCUCAAACUGAGGGAAAUACUUACUUCUCCUGUGCUGCAUCACCCUUUCCUCUUCAAGGGAAAACCAACGCAAGCUCAAGAGACGACAUAAGGUUUCUGUCGACGUAGCAACGAGCUCUUCGUCACCUCCAUAAACGAGAAACAUUUCCUUAGUCCUUUUGAGGUACUUCAGAAUAUUCUUGACCGCCGCCCAGUGCUCCACUCCUGGAUCACUCUGAAACCUGCCUGCCAUACUUAUGGCCAGGCUGACAUCUAGUCUUGUGCACAACAUUGCAUACAUGAUAGACCCUAUGGCUAAAGCAUAGGGGACGACACUCGUCUUUUCUCUAUCGUCUGCAGUUGUUGGACAUUGAGUCUUACUCAACUUUAUACCUUGUAACACAGGCAAGAACCCCUUCUUGGAUUGUUCCAUUUUGAACUUCUUCAAAACUUUAUCAAGGUAUGUGCUUUGUGAAAGAGCUAUGAGGUGCCUUGACCUAUCUCUAUACAUCUUUAUGCCCAAUAUGUAAGCAGCUUAUCCUAGGUCCUUCAUUGAAAAACUUUUAUUCAAGUAGUCCUUUACACUUUCCAAAAAUUCUACAUUGUUUCCAAUCAACAAUAUGGCAUCCACAUAUAAUAUUAGGAAAACGCUGUAGAGCUCCCACUCACUUGGUUGUAAAUACAAGCUUCUCCAAAAACUUGUAUAAACCCAAACGCCUUGGUCACCUCAUCAAAGCGUUGAUUCCAACUCUAAGAUACUUGCACCAGUCCAUAAAUGGAUUGCUGGAGCUUGCACACUUUGUCAGCAUUCUCUGGAUCGACAAAACCUUCGGGUUGCAUCAUAUACAACUCUUCCUUAAGAAACACGUUAAGGAACGCCGUUUUGACAUCCAUGUGCCUGAUUUCAUAAUCAAAAAAUGCAGCUAUUGCUAACAUGAUUCAGACGGACUUAAGCAUCGUCACGGGUGAGAAUGUCUCAUCGUAGUCAACUCAUUGAACUUGUGAAAAACCCUUUGCCACAAGUCGAGCUUUAUAAACGGUCACAUUACCGUCUGCGUUCAUCUUCUUCUUAAAGAUCCAUUUGUUCUGAAUAGCCUUUCGACCUUCAGGUAAUACUUUCAAAGUCCAUACUUUGUUUUUAUAGAUAGAUCCUAUCUUGGAUUUCAUGGCUUCUAACCAUCUGUUGGAAUCUGGGCCCACCAUUGCCUCUCCAUAAUUUGUAGGCUCAUUGUUGUCCAAUAACAUGAUUGACAAGACAGGAUUCCCGUACCACUCAAGAGAAGUACGCGCUCUUGUCGACCUGUGAGGUCCGACGGUAACUUGAUCUGAAGCUUCAUGAUCUCCAUCAUUAGCUUCCUCUUCAACUGGUGUUGCCUCGACAAAAAUUUCUUCCUUCCCUGCGCCACCAUCUUGUUGAAGUAGAGGUUCCGCAAUCUCAUCAAGUUCUAUCUUGCUCCCACUCAAUUCUUUCGAGAGAAACUCUUUCUCAAGAAAAGCUCCUUUCUUUGCCACAAACACUUCGCCUUCGAAUCUGAGAUAGAAGGUAUACCCAACAGUCUCUUUUGGGUAACCUAUGAAUACACACUUUUCCGCUUUGGGUUCCAGCUUUUCAGGCUAAAGCUUUUUGACAUAAGCAUCACAUCCCAAACUUUAAGAAACGACAACUUUGGCUUCUUUCCAUACCACAACUCAUAUGGUGUCGUCUCAACGGAUUUUGAUGGUGUCCUAUUUAAAGUGAAUGCAGCUAUCUCCAAUGCAUAGCCCUAAAAUGAUAACGACAAAUGGGUAAGAGACAUCAUAAAAUGCACCAUAUCUAAUAAAGUAUGAUUACGAGGUUCGGACAUACCAUUGUGUUGUGGUGUUCCAGGCGGUGUCAACUGUGAAACAAUUCCCCAUUGUCUUAAGUGAGCACCAAACUCGUAACUCAGAUAUUCACCUCCUCGAUCAGAUCGUAGGAAGUUGAUCUUCUUGUUACGAUGAUUUUCAAGUUCACUCUGAAAUUGCUUGAACUUUUCAAAGGUUUAACACUUGUGCUUCAUCAAGUAGAUAUGACCAUACCUACUCAAAUCGUCAGUGAAGGUGAGAAAAUAACGAUAUCCGCCACGCGCCUCUAUGCUCAUCAGUCCGCACACAUCAGUAUGCAUGAUCUCUAAUAAGUCACUUGCAUGCUCCAUUGUUCUGGAGAACGGAGUCUUAGUCAUCUUGCCCAUGAGACAUGGUUCGCAUGUGUCAAGUGAUUCAAAAUCAAGUGACUCCAAAAGUCCAUCAGCAUGGAGUUUCUUCAUGCGCUUUACACCAAUAUGACCUAAGCGGCAGUGCCACAAGAAAGUGGCGCUAUCCUUAUUAACUGUACAUCUUUUGGUCUUAAUGUUAUGGACAUGAGUGUCAUCACAAUCGAGAUUCAGUAUGAACAAACCCCUCACAUUGAGUGCAUGACCAUAAAAGAUAUUACUCAUAUAAAUAGAACAACCAUUAUUCUAUGACUUAAAUGAGUAAUCGUCUCGCAAUAAACAAGAUCCACAUAUAAUGUUCAUGCUUAAUGCAAACACUAAAUAACUAUUAUUCAAGUUCAUCACUAAUCCCGAUGGUAACUGAAAUGAGAGUGUGCCGACGGCGAUCACAUCAACCUUGGAACCAUUUCCUACGCGCAUCGUCACUUCAUCCUUCGCCAGUCUUCAUUUAUUCCGAAGUUCCUGUUUCGAGUUGCAAAUGUGAGCAACAGAACCGGUAUGAAAUACCCAGGCACUACUACAAGAGCUGGUGAGGUACACAUCAAUAACAUGUAUAUCAAAUAUACCUUGUUUGGCGUUGGCCGCCUUCUUAUCGGCAAGAUACUUGGGGCAGUUGCACUUCUAGUGACCAGUUCCCUUGCAAUAAUAACACUCAGUUUCUGGCUUACGUCCAGCCUUGGGUUUCUUCAUUGGAGGGGCAACAACUUUGCCACUCUUCUUGGAGUUACCCUUCUUGUCUUUGCCGUUUUCCUUGAAACUAGUGGUCUUAUUGGCCAUCAACACUUGACGUUCUUUCUGGAUUUCUGACUCAGCGACUUUCAGCAUCGCAAACAACUCGCCAGGUGACUUAUUCAUCCCUUGCAUGUUGUAGUUCAACAUGAAGCUCUUAUAGCUAGGUAGUAGUGUCUGAAGAAUUCCGUCAGUGAUAGCUUCUUGCGGGAGUUCAAUCCCCAGCUCAACUAGACAGUUAGAGUACCUAGACAUUCUCAGCACGUGUUCACUAACAAACGAAUUAUCCUCCAUUUUGCAAGCAUAGAACUUAUCGAAGGUAUCAUACCUCCCGAUCCACGCAUUCUUCUCAAAGAUAAACUCCAACUCCUGGAACAACACAUAUGCUCCAUGACGUUCAAAACGUCUUUGAAGUCCUGGUUCUAAGCCAUACAAAACUGCACAUUGAACCAAUGAGUAGUCAUCCUUACGGGACUGCCAAUCGUUCAAAACAUCUUGGGUCGUCGUAGCGGGUGUUGCAUCACCUAGCACAGCAUCAAGAACAUAUUGCUUUUGGCCAGCUGUGAGGAUAAGCCUCAGAUUAUGAGCCCAGUCAACAAAGUUGCUUCCAUCAUCUUUCAACUUAGCUUUUUAUAGGAAAGUAUUAAAAUUUAGGGUUGCUACAGCGCGAGCCAUUGAUCUACAACAUAAAAUUUUGCAAAUAUUACUUAGACUAUGUUCAAGACAAUUGAGUUUAGCUAAUCAUAUUACUAAUAAACUCCCACUCAAAUAGACAUCCCUCUAGUCAUUCGAGUGUCGCAUGAUCCAAAUUCACUAACUCAAGUCCGAUCAUCACGUGAGUUGAGAUUAGUUUCAAUGGUGAACAUUUCCAUGUUGAUAAUAUCAACUAUAUGAUCCAUGGUCGACCUUUCGGUCUCUUGCGUUCCGAGGCCAUGUCUGUACAUGCUAGGCUCGUCAAGUUUAACCCGAGUGUUCCGCGCAUGCAACUUUUUUGCACCCGUUGUAUGUGAACGUUGAGCCUAUCACACCCCAUCAUCACGUGGGGUCUCAAAAUGACGAACAGUCGCAACAGUGCAUGGUCUGGGAGAACACAGUUUUAUCUUGAAAUUUUAGUGAGGGAUCACCUUAUAAUGCUACCGUCGUCCUAAGGAAAAUAAGGUGCAUAAAGGAUUAACAUCACAUGCAAAUCAAAAAGUGACAUGACAUGGCCAUGAUCUUCUGCUUCUUGAUCUCCAUCACCAAAGCACCGGCAUGAUCUCCAUCGUCACUGGCGCCACACCAUGAUCUCCAUUAUUGUCUACCAUCGAGGUUGUCGCGCUAUCUAUGAUGUUACUACUAAAGCUACUACCUAGCAAUAUAGCAAGAGCAUCUGCAAGUGCAAAAUAAAUUUAAAGGCAACUCUAUGUCUCCUGCCGAUUGCCGUAGCAUCGACGUGCAAGUCGAUAUUUAACUAUUACAACAUGAUCAUCUCAUACAUCCAAUAUAUCAUACCAUGUCAUUGGUCAUAUCACAUCAUAAGCAUACCCUGCAAAAACAAGUUAGACGUCCUCUAAUUUGUUGUUGCAUGUUUUAUGUGGCUGCUAUGGGUAUCAAGUAUGAUCACAUCUUACUUACGCAAAGCCACAACGGUGAUAUGCAAAUUGCUAUUUAACCUUCUCCAAGGACCGCCUGGUCAAAUCCGAUUCAACUAAAGUUGAAGAAACAGACAACCGACAGUCAUCUUUAUGCAACAAGUUUCAUGUCAGUCGAUGAAACCGAUCUCUCGUAGGCGUACGAGUAAAGUUGGUCUGGGCCGCUUCAAUCCAACAAUGUCGUUGAAUCAAGAAAAGACUAAGGAGGGCAGCAAAUCGAACAUCAACGCCCACAAACUCUUUUGUGUUCUACUCGAGAUAUCAUCUACACAUGAACCUAGCUCUGAUACCACUGUUGGGGAACGUUGCAUGGGAAACAAAAAAAAUUCUACGCACACGAAGACCUAUCAUGGUGAUGAUCAUCUACGAGAGGGAGAUUGGAUCCCCAUACCCUUGUAGAUUGCUAAGCGGGAAACGUUAAGAAACAAGGUUGAUGUAGUGGAACGUCUUCGCGAUCCAAAUCAUCGUUGUCCCACGAUCCGUCCCGAUCUAGCGCCGAACGGACGACACCUCUAUGUUUAGCACACGUACAGCUCGAUGACGAUCUCCGCCUUCUUGAUCCAGCAAGAGAGACGAAGAGGUAGCUGAAUUCUUCGACAGCACGACGGCGUGGCGGUGAUGAUGGUGGAGCUACUCCGACAGGGUCGUACCGUACUGAACUAGCUACGAGGUGUCACGAAGUAGUGGAGGGAGAGAGGGUUGCACAAAGGCAUGAGGUGCAAAACCCCUCUCAAAUCUCCACUAUAUAUAUGAGGAACAAGAUGGAGGGUUGGCUUGCCUCCUCGGCCGAGCCCAAGAGGAAGGAUUCCUCCUCCAAUUCGGUUUGGUGGAGGAGUCCUUCCCAUCUUGUCCACCUCCUUCCUUUUUUUCCUUUUUCCUUUUUUUUUGCUUCAACCGAAAUAGGAUUACUGGGCUGGCCUCACUAGCACACAAAGGGCUGGUGCACCACCCAUGGGCCUAUUAGGUCCUCUCUUGGGUGGGUGGCCCCUCCCGGUAAAACCUCGAAACCCAUUCGUCACUCCCGGUAUUUUACCGGUAGUGCCCGAAAUCUUGCCGGAAGCCAAAUGCAAUAAUCCUAUAUAUCAAUCUUCAUUUCUGGACCAUUCCGGAGACACUCAUGACGUCCGGGAACUCAUCCGAGACUCCAAACAACACUCGGUUACCAACAUCAAUAGUUCAACUAUACUGAAAACGUCAACGAACCUUAAGUGUGCAGACCGUGCGGGUUCGAGAACUAUGUAGACAUGACCGAGACACUCUCCGGUCAAUAUCCAAUAGCGGGACCUGGACGUCCAUAUUGGAUCCUACAUAUUCUACGAAGAUCUUAUUGGUUAAACCUCUAUGUCAAGGAUUCACACAAUCCUGUAUAUCAUUCCCUUUGUCCUUCGAUAUGUUACUUGCCCGAGAUUCGUUGUCGGUAUCAACAUACCUAUUUCAAUUUCGUUACUGGCAAGUCUCUUUACUAAUUCUGCAAUACAAGAUCUCGUGGCUAACUCUUGGGUCACAUUGCUUGCAAGGCUUGUUUAUGAUGUUGUAUUCCCGAGUGGGUCCCGAGAUGUUGGAAUUAUGCCCUAGAGGCAAUAAUAAAUAUAGUUAUUAUUAUAAUUCCUGUAUCAGGAUAAUCAUUUAUUAUCCAUGCUAUAAUUGUAUUGAAUGAAGACUCAUUUACAUGUGUGGAUACAUAGACAAAACACCGUCCCUAGCAAGCCUCUAGUUGGCUAGCUAGUUGAUCAAAGAUAGUCAGUGUCUUCUGAUUAUGAACAAGGUGUUGUUGCUUGAUAACUGGAUCACGUCAUUAGGAGAAUCACGUGAUGAACUAGACCCAAACUAAUAGACGUAGCAUGUUGAUCGUGUCAUUUUGUUGCUACUGUUUUCUGCGUGUCAAGUAUUUAUUCCUAUGACCAUGAGAUCAUAUAACUCACUGACACCGGGGGAAUGCUUUGUGUGUAUCAAACGUCGCAACGUAACUGGGUGACUAUAAAGAUUCUCUACAGGUAUCUUCGAAGGUGUUAGUUGAGUUAGUAUGGAUCAAGACUGGGAUUUGUCACUCUGUGUGAACGGAGAGGUNGCUCGGGCGGAGCCCUACUGAGACAAGGUCAUCACCAACCUCCGGAGCGCCGUCACGCUGCCGGAGAACUCUUCUACCUCUCCGUCUCUCUUGCUGGAUCAAGAAGGCCGAGAUCAUCGUCGAGCUGUACGUGUGCUGAACGCGGAGGUGCCGUCCGUUCGGUACUAGAUCGUGGGACUGGUCGCGGGAUUGUUCGUGGGGCGGAUCGAGGGACGUGAGGACGUUCCACUACAUCAACCGCGUUCACUAACGCUUCUGCUGUAUGAUCUACAAGGGUACGUAGAUCACUCAUCCCCUCUCGUAGAUGGACAUCACCAUGAUAGGUCUUCGUGCGCGUAGGAAAAAUUUUGUUUCCCAUGCGACGUUCCCCAACAGUGGCAUCAUGAGCUAGGUACAUGCGUAGAUGUCUUCUCGAGUAGAACACAAAAGUUUUUGUGGGCGGUGAUGUGCGUUUUGCUGCCCUCCUUAGUCUUUUCUUGAUUCCGCGGUAUUGUUGGAUUGAAGCGGCUUGGACCGACAUUACUCGUACGCUUACGAGAGACUGGUUUCAUCGUUACGAGUAACUCCGUUGCUCAAAGAUGACUGGCAAGUGUCGGUUUCUCCAACUUUAGUUGAAUCGGAUUUGACCGAGGAGGUCCUUGGAUGAGGUUAAAUAGCAACUCAUAUAUCUCCGUUGUGGUGUUUGCGUGAGUAAGAUGCGAUCCUACUAGAUACCCAUGGUCACCACGUAAAACAUGCAACAACAAAAUUAGAGGACGUCUAACUUGUUUUUGCACGGUAUGCUUGUGAUGUGAUAUGGCCAAUGAUGUGAUGUGAUAUAUUGGAUGUAUGAGAUGAUCAUGUUGUAAUAGAAAUAUCGACUUGCACGUCGAUGGUACGGCAACCGGCAGGAGCCAUAGGGUUGUCUUUAUACUAACGUGUGUGCUUGCCGAUGCGUUUACUAUUUUGCUAGGAUGUAGCUUUAGUAGUAAUAGCAUGAGUAGCACGACAACCCCGAUGGCAACACGUUGAUGGAGAUCAUGGUGUGGUGCCGGUGACAAGAAGAUCGUGCCGGUGCUUUGGUGAUGGAGAUCAAGAAGCACGUGAUGAUGGCCAUAUCAUGUCACUUAUGAAUUGCAUGUGAUGUUAAUCCUUUUAUGCACCUUAUUUUGCUUAGAACGACGGUAGCAUUAUGAGGUGAUCUCUCACUAAAAUUUCAAGACGAAAUUGUGUUCUCCCCGACUGUGCACCGUUGCUACAAUUCGUCGUUUCGAGACACCACGUGAUGAUCGGGUGUGAUAGACUCAACGUUCACAUACAACGGGUGCAAAACAGUUGCGCACGCGGAACACUCGGGUUAAGCUUGACGAGCCUAGCAUGUGCAGACAUGGCCUCGGAACACAUGAGACCGAAAGGUCGAUCAUGAAUCAUAUAGAUGAUAUGAUUAGCAUAGGGAUGCUUACCACUGAAACUAUACUCAACUCACGUGAUGAUCGGACUUGAGCUAGUGUAAGUGGAUCAUGAACCACUCAAAUGACUAGAGAGAUGUACUUUUUGAGUGGGAGUUUAGCGAAUAAUUUGAUUAAGUUAAACUCUAAUUAUCUUGAACAUAGUCUAAGUCCACUUUGAAUAUAUUUGUGUUGUAGAUCAUGGCUCACGCGACAGUCAUCCUGAAUUUUAAUACGUUCCUAGAGAAAGCUAAGUUGAAAGAUGAUGGAAGCAACUUUGUAGACUGGGCUCGUAAUCUUAAGCUAAUCUUACAAGCUGGGAAGAAGGAUUAUGUCCUUAAUGCUGCGUUAGGAGAUGAACCACCCGCUACGGCUGAUUAGGAUGUUAAGAACGCUUGGUUAGCACGUAAGGAGGACUACUCAAUAGUUCAAUGUGCAGUCUUGUAUGGCUUAGAACCGGGACUUCAACGUCGCUUUGAGCGUCAUGGAGCAUUUGAGAUGUUCCAGGAGUUGGAGUUUAUCUUUCAGAAGAACGCUUGGAUCGAAAGGUAUGAGACCUCCGAAAAAUUCUAUGCUUGCAAGAUGGAGGAAAACUCAUCUGUCAGUGAACAUGUGCUCAAAAUGUCUGGGUACUCAAACUGUCUAGCUGAGCUGGGGAUUAAACUCCCGCAAGAAGCUAUCACUGACAGAAUCCUUCAAUCACUGCCGCCAAGCUAUAAAGGCUUUGUGUUGAACUACAACAUGCAAGGGAUGAACAAGUCUCCCGGCGAGUUGUUUGCGAUGCUGAAAGUCGCAGAGUCUGAACUCCGUAAAGAGCAUCAAGUGUUGAUGGUGAAUAAGACCACUAGUUUCAAGAGAAACGGCAAAGGCAAGAAGGGCAAUUCGAAGAAGAGCGGCAAGCCUGUUGCCAAUCCGACGAAGAAACCCAAAGCUGGACCUAAGCCGGAAACGGAGUGUUACUAUUGCAAGGGUAUGGGUCACUGGAAGCGCAAUUGCCCCAAGUAUCUAGCAGAUAAGAAGGCGGGCAAAGAAAAUUCAGGUAUAUUUGAUAUACAUGUUAUUGAUGUGUACUUAACCGGCUCUCGUAGUAGUGCCUGGGUAUUCGAUACCGGUUCUGUUGCUCAUAUUUGCAACUCGAAACAGGAACUGCGAAAUAGGCGAAGGCUGGCGAAAGAUGAAGUGACGAUGCGCGUAGGAAAUGGUUCCAAGGUUGAUGCAAUCGCCGUCGGCACAGUGUCACUUCAGUUACCGUCAGGAUUAGUGAUGAACUUAAAUCAUUGUUAUUUAGUGUCUGCGUUGAGCAUGAACAUUAUAUCUGGAUCUUGUUUAUUGCGAGACGGUUACUCUUUUAAGUCAGAGAAUAAUGGUUGUUCUAUUUCUAUGAGUAACAUCUUUUAUGGUCAUGCACCGAAUGUGAGAGGAUUGUUCAUAUUGAAUCUUGAUAACGAUACGCAUAUACAUAACACUGAGACCAAAAGAGUUAGAGUUAACAAUGAUAGCGCCAUAUUUUUGUGGCACUGCCGCUUAGGUCAUAUUGGUGUAAAGCGCAUGAAGAAACUCCAUGCUGAUGGACUUUUGGAGUCACUUGACUUUGAUUCACUUUACACGUCUGAACCAUGCCUCGUGGGCAAGAUGACGAAGACUCCGUUCUCAGGAACAAUGGACCGUGCAAGUGACUUGUUGGAAAUCAUACAUACCGAUGUGUGUGGUCCGAUGAACGUGGAGGCAUGCGGCGGAUAUCGUUAUUUUCUCACCUUCACUGACGAUUUAAGUAGAUAUGGUUAUGUCUACUUGAUGAAGCACAAGUCUGAAACAUUUGAAAAGUUCAAGCAAUUUCAGAGUGAAGUGGAAAAUCAUCGUAACAAGAAGAUCAAGUUCCUACGGUCUGAUCGUGGGGGUGAAUAUCUGAGUUUCGAGUUUGGUGCUCACUUAAGACAAUGUGGAAUUGUUUCACACUUAACACCGCCUGGAACACCACAGCGUAAUGGUGUGUCCGAACGUCGUAAUCGUACUCUAUUAGAGAUGGUGCGAUCUAUGAUGUCUCUUACUGAUUUGCCGUUAUCAUUUUGGGGCUAUGCAUUAGAAACAGCUGCAUUCACUUUAAAUAGGGCACCAUCAAAAUCCGUUGAGACGACACCAUACGAACUGUGGUAUGGCAAAAGGCCAAAGUUGUCGUUUCUUAAAGUUUGGGGAUGUGAUGCUUAUGUCAAAAAGCUUCAGCCUGAAAAGCUGGAACCCAAAGCGGAAAAGUGCGUCUUCAUAGGUUACCCAAAAGAGACAGUUGGGUACACCUUCUAUCUCAAAUCCGAGGGCAAAGUGUUUGUUGCUAAAAACGGAGCUUUUCUCGAGAAGGAGUUUGUCUCGAGAGAAUUGAGUGGGAGGAAGAUAGAACUUGACGAGGUUGUCGAACCUCUCAUCCCUCUGGAUGGUGGCGCAGGGCAAGGGGAAACCUCUGUCAGUGCGACGCCGGUUGAGGAGGAAGUUAAUGAUGAUGAUCAUGAAACUCCAGUUCAAGUUUCUGUCGAACCACGCAGGUCGACGAGACCACGUGCUGCUCCAGAGUGGUACGGUAAUCCCGUCUUAUCAAUCAUGUUGUUAGACAACAAUGAACCUGCGAAUUAUGAAGAAGCAAUGGUGGGCCCAGAUUCCAACAAAUGGCUGGAAGCCAUGAAGACCGAGAUAGGAUCCAUGUAUGAGAACAAAGUGUGGACUUUGGAGGUACUGCCUGAGGGCCGCAAGGCCAUUCAGAACAAAUGGAUCUUUAAGAGGAAGGCGGACGCUGACGGUAAUGUGACCGUUUAUAAAGCUCGACUUGUGGCAAAGGGUUUUUCACAAGUUCAAGGAGUUGACUACGAUGAGACUUUCUCACCCGUAGCGAUGCUUAAGUCCGACAGAAUCAUGUUAGCAAUACCUGCAUUUUUCUAUUAUGAAAUCUGGCAGAUGGAUGUCAAAACGGCGUUCCUUAACGGUUUCCUUAAGGAAGAGUUGUAUAUGAUACAACCCGAAGGUUUUGUCGAUCCUAAGAAUGCUAACAAGGUGUGCAAGCUCCAGCGAUCCAUUUAUGGACUGGUGCAAGCAUCUCGGAGUUGGAACAAACGCUUUGAUGAGGUGAUCAAAGCAUUUGGGUUUAUACAAGUGGUUGGAGAAUCUUGUAUUUACAAGAAAGUGAGUGGGAGCUCUGUGGCGUUUCUAAUAUUAUAUGUGGAUGACAUAUUACCGAUUGGAAACAACGUAGAGUUUUUAGAGAGCAUAAAGGAUUACUUGAAUAAAAGUUUCUCUAUGAAGGACCUAGGAGAAGCUGCUUACAUUCUAGGCAUUAAGAUCUAUAGGAUAGAUCAAAACGCCUGAUAGGACUUUCACAAAGCACAUACCUUGAUAAAGUUUUGAAGAGGUUCAAAAUGGAACAGUCCAAGAAAGGGUUCUUGCCAGUUCUACAAGGUACGAGAUUGAGUAAGACUCAGUGCCCAGCAACUGAUGAAGAUAGAGAGCAUAUGCGCUCCGUCCCCUAUGCUUCAGCCAUAGGUUCUAUCAUGUAUGCGAUGUUGUGCACUAGACCGGAUGUUAGCCUGGCCAUAAGUAUGGCAGGUAGGUUCCAGAGUAAUCCAGGAGUGGAUCACUAGACAGCGGUCAAGAAUAUCCUGAAGUACCUGAAAAGGACUAAGGAGAUGUUUCUCGUGUAUGGAGGUGACGAAGAGCUCGCCGUAAAAGGUUACGUCGAUGCAAGCUUUGACACAGAUCCGGACGACUCUAAGUCGCAAAUCGGAUACGUAUUUAUUCUUAAUGGGGGUGCACUAAGCUAGUGCAGUUCCAAGCAAAGCGUCGUAGCAGAUUCUACAUGUGAAGCAGAGUACAUGGCUGCCUCGGAGGCGGCUAAGGAGGGUGUCUGGAUGAAGCAGUUCAUGACGGAUCUUGGAGUGGUGCCAAGCGCACUGAAUCCAAUAACCUUGUUCUGUGACAACACUGGUGCCAUUGCCUUAGCAAAGGAACCACGGUUUCACAAGAAGACCAGACACAUCAAACGACGCUUCAACCUCAUCCGCGACUACGUCGAGGGAGAGGACGUGAAUAUAUGCAAAGUGCACACGGAUCUGAAUGUAGCGGACCCGCUGACUAAACCUCUUCCACGGCCAAAACAUGAUCAACACCAGAACUGUAUGGGUGUUAGAUUUAUUACAAUGUAAUUCAGAUGGUGAUGUGAGGGCUAGAUUAUUGACUCUAGUGCAAGUGGGAGACAGUUGGAAUUAUGCCCUAGAGGCAAUAACAAAUAUAGUUAUUAUUAUAAUUCCUGUAUCAAGAUAAUCGUUUAUUAUCCAUGCUAUAAUUGUAUUGAAUGAAGACUCAUUUACAUGUGUGGAUACAUAGACAAAACACCGUCCCUAGCAAGCCUCUAGUUGGCUAGCCAGUUGAUCAAAGAUAGUCAGUGUCUUCUGGUUAUGAACAAGGUGUUGUUGCUUGAUAACUGGAUCACGUCAUUAGGAGAAUCACGUGAUGAACUAGACCCAAACUAANNNNNNNNNNNNNNNNNNNNNNNNNNNNNNNNNNNNNNNNNNNNNNNNNNNNNNNNNNNNNNNNNNNNNNNNNNNNNNNNNNNNNNNNNNNNNNNNNNNNCGGGCGUGAUCGGGCCGCCUCAUGUUCUCGCUAAGGAAGCUUUAUAUGAACAAAAAAAAUUUACCUAUACUACCCGUAGUCUUCGUCUUCCCCAUCCUCCUCCUCUUCUAGUUCGUCAAGGAAUGUGUAGGAGUCUGAAUCACGAUAGGCAGCCACAACCUACAAGCAUAGCGUGCUCCUCCUCAUUGGUGUGCACGACCCCAAACUCGCGUAUGUAGCGUGCUUGGAGGGUGACGAGCUUGAGCACGCUGUUGACGGAGUCCUCUGGCUUCGGCCCCGGCUCGUCGUUCAGAGGAGCGACCUUGUUUACGGCGACGAGGACACCGUUUACUAGGGUUCAACCAGGCCCGGGCCCACAGUGGUGCCACAUGUGCAGCCCGCACAGGGCCGACGAUUUUGGGGGGCCCCAAUAUAUAUAUAUAUAUAUAUGCAUAUGAAUAUAGUUGUAUAAAAAGGAAAAUCGGCUGGACGUGGGCGUCGUGGGCGUCGUGCCUCGAUCGAUCGAUUUGCGCAUCUGGCCACCGCGCCGUGGGCUCCUGGAGCGAGCUGGCCAGCUGGGCACCUGCCGCCUGGGCAAAUGGGCCUUUAUUACGGUGUACGUGAGGCUACUACUACCACCUGGGCCCUGGCCUCAUCCCGUGUCAGCUACACCGCUACCAUCGAUCGAGCCCCUGAUCGAGGCACGACUCUGUGAUCCAGCAAUCGCUCGCCGCCUCGCCCCUGUCGCUCGCCAGGCCUGUCGCUCGGCAAAACAGGAGAUCGCUCCUCGCUCGCCCUUGUCGCUCGCCAAAACACGCGAUAUCAGAACGUGAGGCUCUGGUGCUCGUGGCUCGCCGUCUCGUACUCGCAGUUCGCUGAGUCGCCGUCGCCGAAACGUUUUCCCAUCAGGCACUAGCAUCAGGCAUGCUUCCCAUCGAUCUGGAAUUUGUAGACGCAGACCCUGUGUAGACUUGAUCGCACUAUCGCGACAUCGGUAAGAAAAGAAUAUCUCGUCGUCAGGUGCUCGUCGCCUUCGUCGUUCGCAUCAUCACCGAUCAGUUCAUCAGAUCGAUCUCGCGAUCCGAUUCAGGCCGCCGCCGAGACUCGUCGUCUUGUCGGAUCGAUCCCAGUUCAUCCGUGAAGGAUCCAAAACUAGGUGAGUUAGAUAGUUCGUCUAAGUGUCAUCAUGCUACUGUAUAACUUCAAUUUCAUUGUAUUCAUCUUUUUAAUAUUGUAUUUCAAUAAUAUAGAUUUGAGUCAUCAUGGGGAAACAUCAGUCUGGUGCCUAUAAGCGCAAGAAAAAAGCAGAAGAACAAAAUUUAAUUAAUAAAUCUUAUAAAGGCGGCAUGGACAAAUUUGUUAGAAAAAAACCACCGCAAGUGUCAUCCGGUAAUCAGUCUGUUGAUCCUUCUACCCUUGCACUUGCAAUUGUUCCUUACAAUGAUGAUAGAGAUGGUCAGACAGAGACAGAUAAUAUGGAGGUAGAGGAAGAUCAUAUUGAUGUUAACUUGAAUAGUUCACCUCGUGAGGAUGUUGAUGAUUCUUUUAAGUCUGGUAUAUUUGAUCCAAGAAACUGGAAUUCUCUUGAUUCUAAACAGAUUGAUAUCUUAGCACAAAAGGGUCCAAAAAGAGACAAUUCAAUUAAGAAAGGUCCUAAAGAUAGAUAUCGUAAAAGGUUUACCGCAAUAUUCUAUACUAGAUUUCUAUCAAAUGGAGAGUGUUGUGAUAGAGACUGGCUUGUCUAUUCUAAACAACUUGAUAGAGUCUUUUGCUUUGCUUGUAAGUUAUUUAGAAAAAGUCAUCAGAAAGGUCAAUUGGCAAAUGAGGGCUGUAAUGAUUGGUCACAUAUGACCAAUAGACUAAAAGACCAUGAGACAAGUGGGGAUCAUGUUUUGAGUAUGACUAAUUGGUAUGAGUUGCGCAGUAGAUUGGAAAAACAUCAAACUAUUGAUAAAACAGCUCAACGACAACUUGAGAAAGAGAAGGACCAUUGGAGAAAGGUAUUAUUCAUAAUUGUUUGCAUUGUGAAAUUUCUUGCCAAGCAUAAUCUAGCAUUCCGUGGUACUAAUGGCAAGUUGUAUGAAGAUAGCAAUGGUAAUUUCUUGGGUUUGGUAGAGAUGUUGGCUGAAUUUGACCCCAUUAUUCAGGAGCAUGUUCGUCGUAUUACAAAUGAAGAAACUCAUGCUCAUUAUCUUGAUCAUAAGAUUCAGAAUGAAUUGCUACACUUGCUUGCUUCUUGUAUUAGGUCAGAAAUUAUCAAGAAAAUAAAGAGCGCAAAGUAUUUCUCCGUCAUACUUGAUUGUACCCCUGAUGCAAGUCACCAAGAGCAAAUGUCUUUAAUUAUAAGAUAUGCGGAUUCAUCUUCAAGUCAAGUUUUCAUAGAAGAGUCUUUUCUAGGAUUUCUUGAUGUAAAUGAUUCAACUGGUCAAGGACUUUUUGAGGUGCUACAGAAUGAGCUAAAACUUCUUGAUCUUGAUAUAAAUGAUGUGCGAGGACAAGGUUAUGAUAAUGGAUCAAAUAUGAAAGGAACGCAUCAAGGGGUACAAAGAAAACUUUUGGAUGUAAAUCCUAGAGCUUUUUAUUCUGCUUGUGGUUGUCAUAGCCUUAAUUUAACACUUUGUGAUAUGGCCAAGACUUGUGGUAGAGCAAAAGACUUUUUUGGGAUCAUCCAACGCAUCUAUACAAUUUUUGCAAAUUCUACUAAGAAAUGGCAUAUUUUGAAAGAAAACAUAUCAGGAUUGACUCUCAAGUCUGUGUCAGCUACGCGUUGGGAGAGUCAUGUUGAAAGUGUUAAACCAAUUAGAUUUCAAUGUUCAGACAUUCGCGAGGCUCUACUUCAGGUAACCAAUAUGUUCAUAUUGAUAAUGAUGUAAUUCAUUCAGACUUUGACUAGUCCAACCAUAACAUUUAUGAACUUUAUUUUAAUUUCAGGUAUCUGAAACUGAUAGUGAUCCGAAGGCAAGCAGUGAGGCUCUAGGUUUGGCAAACAAUGAACUUGGAGAGUAUGAAUUUAUCGUGGCAAUAGUCAUUUGGUAUGAGGUAUUGUCUGCUAUUAAUUUAGUAAGCAAGAACUUGCAAACAAAGGAUAUGCUUAUUGAUGUUGCAAUUGAGAAAGUGAAAGGGCUUAUUUCUUUCUUUGAGGGGUACAGAGAAACUGGUUUCUUAAAAGCAUUGCAGAUAGCCAAAGAAAUUGCACUUGAGAUGAAUAUUGAUGCAACAUUUCGUAAAAGAAGAGAAAUUAAAAGAAAGAAACAGUUUGAUGAGAACCCAGACGACACAAAUAUUGCCACACAGUCUGCACAUGAAUCAUUUAGAGUCAACUAUUUCAUACGUGUUGUUGAUCAAGCAAUUUCCUCACUCACAAGGAGAUUUGAGCAAUAUGAAGGUUAUCAGAAAAUAUUUGGUUUCUUAUUUACCUCUGAAACAUUGCGUUCAUUGGAUAAGGAUAGUUUGAAAUCUUCUUGUGUUAAUCUUGAGGCUUCCCUUAUGAAGGAUGAACAAUCUGAUAUUGAUGCCAAUGAACUAUUUGUUGAGUUGAAGUUUCUUCAAAAUUUCAUGCCAAAAGAAAAUAUCGGACCUGUUAAAAUUCUGAAUUUUUAAAGCGGCAUGAUUGUUUUCCCAAUGCAAGUAUUGCAUAUAGAGUUCUGUUGACCAUUCCUGUGACAGUUGCAUCGGCAGAAAGAAGUUUUUCUAAAUUAAAACUAUUGAAGUCCUAUAUGCGUACUACUAUGACACAACAAAGACUCAAUGAUUUGGCCACAAUAGCACUUGAGAGUGAAGUCUUGGAGAAGAUUGAUUACGAGGAUAUAAUUGAAGAUUUUAUUUCAAAGAAUACUGCAAGAAUGAGGAUGUUCAAAUAAACAGCAAUUGGGAGUUGUAUAGGUAUGAGUUUUUUAUAUGUCCAAUUUUUAUGUAAGAUAUUAUAUUAUAUACAUUAUAAAAAAAAUUUCAAGGCAUAUAUACAUUAUAGUUGCUCGUUAGUUCAUUUUUUUGUAAGAUAGGGCCCCAUUUUUUCGUUUCGCAUAGGGCCCUGGAUUUUGUCGGGCCGGCCCUGGGUUCAACCUUGCAUUUUUUAUUACGUUCUCUCCUCACAAUUGUGGGAAACUAUUGCCUCUCAAUCUCAUUAUCUUUUCUCCUCAAACUUCAGAAGCAAUUUCCCCUUUAGGAACAUCUAUAACCAGUGUUGGGGAACGUCGCAUGGGAAACAAAAAAAUUUCCUACGCGCACGAAGACCUAUCAUGGUGAUGUCCAUCUACGAGAGGGGAUGAGUGAUCUACAUACCCUUGUAGACCGUACAGCAGAAGCGUUAGAGAACGCGGUUGAUGUAGUGGAACGUCCUCACGUCCCUCGAUCCGCCCCGCGAACAAUCCCGCGAUCAGUCCCACGAUCUAGUACCGAACGGACGGCACCUCCGCGUUCAGCACACGUACAGCUUGACGAUGAUCUCGGCCUUCUUGAUCCAGCAAGAGAGACGGAGAGGUAGAAGAGUUCUCCGGCAGCGUGACGGCGCUCCGGAGGUUGGUGAUGACCUUGUCUCAGCAGGGCUCCGCCCGAGCUCCGCAGAAACACGAUCUAGAGGAAAAACCGUGGAGGUAUGUGGUCGGGCUGCCGUGGAAAAGUAGUCUCAAAUCAGCCCUAAAACCUCCGUAUAUAUAGGUGGGAGGGAGGGGACCUUGCCUUGGGGNNNNNNNNNNNNNNNNNNNNNNNNNNNNNNNNNNNNNNNNNNNNNNNNNNNNNNNNNNNNNNNNNNNNNNNNNNNNNNNNNNNNNNNNNNNNNNNNNNNNNNNNNNNNNNNNNNNNNNNNNNNNNNNNNNNNNNNNNNNNNNNNNNNNNNNNNNNNNNNNNNNNNNNNNNNNNNNNNNNNNNNNNNNNNNNNNNNNNNNNNNNNNNNNNNNNNNNNNNNNNNNNNNNNNNNNNNNNNNNNNNNNNNNNNNNNNNNNNNNNNNNNNNNNNNNNNNNNNNNNNNNNNNNNNNNNNNNNNNNNNNNNNNNNNNNNNNNNNNNNNNNNNNNNNNNNNNNNNNNNNNNNNNNNNNNNNNNNNNNNNNNNNNNNNNNNNNNNNNNNNNNNNNNNNNNNNNNNNNNNNNNNNNNNNNNNNNNNNNNNNNNNNNNNNNNNNNNNNNNNNNNNNNNNNNNNNNNNNNNNNNNNNNNNNNNNNNNNNNNNNNNNNNNNNNNNNNNNNNNNNNNNNNNNNNNNNNNNNNNNNNNNNNNNNNNNNNNNNNNNNNNNNNNNNNNNNNNNNNNNNNNNNNNNNNNNNNNNNNNNNNNNNNNNNNNNNNNNNNNNNNNNNNNNNNNNNNNNNNNNNNNNNNNNNNNNNNNNNNNNNNNNNNNNNNNNNNNNNNNNNNNNNNNNNNNNNNNNNNNNNNNNNNNNNNNNNNNNNNNNNNNNNNNNNNNNNNNNNNNNNNNNNNNNNNNNNNNNNNNNNNNNNNNNNNNNNNNNNNNNNNNNNNNNNNNNNNNNNNNNNNNNNNNNNNNNNNNNNNNNNNNNNNNNNNNNNNNNNNNNNNNNNNNNNNNNNNNNNNNNNNNNNNNNNNNNNNNNNNNNNNNNNNNNNNNNNNNNNNNNNNNNNNNNNNNNNNNNNNNNNNNNNNNNNNNNNNNNNNNNNNNNNNNNNNNNNNNNNNNNNNNNNNNNNNNNNNNNNNNNNNNNNNCAUCCUGGGCUUGUUUCAUGUACGUUUGUUUUUAUGGUGCUCAUCCUGGGCUUGUUUCAUGGGUGCACAUAUGAUGUAGGCAGUGGAUGCGUGGAAAAUCCUGGAUUGUGUAGAUUCUGCCUGUCCUAUUAAUGUUUCACUCGUAUAGCUUUGGUGCGGGCGAGAGUGCCUUAUUAAUUUAAUAUAUCAAGGGUCAAUUUAUUUGAUGUUUGCAUAAUUUGUUAUGAUUGAAUCCUUGGGUCAACCUUUGUGCUUCAACUGAUAGGUUUGUUACGAAGGAAACCAAAAUUACUUGCAUUCACUAUUUACUGAAAAAAGAUGGACGUGAUUAUUAAAUACUCUUUUUAUCAAUAUAUGCGUAUUUUUAGGAAUGAGAGUUUAACUUCAGCGGAGGUGGCUUACCUGUCCCAGGACUCAGGAGAAGAUCAACGCCAGGUCUUCUGCGCUGUUUCCUGUUUUGCUCGGUAGCUCGAGGAGUGGGGAGUAUUUGCUUUACUGGUUUUGGUAGUUACGGUUUGGUUCCCUUUAAACCGGGCCAAUUGUACAUAAACUAUUAUCACCGCUUAAUAAACAGCCAGUGCUUCUUCAUUUUUCCUAUAUAGAAAGAGGAACAUAAUUGUUGGUACAAAAUGUUAACUGUACUAAGCACAUGAGUUCUUUUUAUAGUUGUCGAUUUGUCGACAUUGGUAUCGUGAUUGUUUAGAUCUAGAUAGUGAUAGGCAAAUGUUCAUUUCUUCUUAUAGUGACAGCCUUUGCAGGGAAGCUUAUUAACCCACCGAGUUAGUACUUUGUACUAUAUUCCAGUGCUAAGUGGACAGUAGGAUUCUACUGUUUAACCAUAUAUGGCCUACAACAGGCGGUGAAUGUUGGUUAAAGUUGUGUACAAUCGAUAAAAAUAUGCAGUGUAAAUUUCAGAGGAAUAUCUCAUUCUAAGCAUGGUGAACUCUCUGAUCUGUCUUUGGUCCAUCUUUGGGAGAAGAUGCAAGUGUUUUGAUGACAUAUGUUUGCUGUAGUGUUGAAUCCUCAUGAUACUAAAGUUCUUCUACUGGAUAGAGAUACAUUGUUCAUUACCCUUUCUUUCACAAGGAACUAGCAGAAUCUAUUUUCUUCAUCUGCUAGGACCAGUGCUUAUAACCACACGUGAUACUGCUGUCACGUCUUUCUCCAUCAAAGCAGCAUCGUUGGUUAUUUGCACUGUAGUGUGCGGCAAUCAUAAUUAUGAUUAGUUGGUCUUUUACUGAUGAUGGCAUGUUGUCAUUACCUCAAAAUGGCAGAUUCCUACUACUUUCCAGAUUGUAUCAUGGCACUCUUCUAUUAAUCUGAUAUAAGCUUACUCUUGUACUUUUCUGUACAGCCUCGGAUUAAGAAGAUCAUGCAAGCAGAUGAAGAUGUUGGCAAGAUUGCUCUAGCUGUACCUGUUCUUGUGUGUAAGUUUUCCAGAACCUCUUUUUUAAGAACUUUCCUUUAACUCACCUGUUAUCAGUUCCAGAGUUAUUUCCCUACAUACAUCAUCUUUUUUUCACCAUCCAUUGCUAACAAGAAAUGACAGUGCUGACUACCGUCUUAGAACAUACUUUUUUUCUUUUAUUAGACCAAAUUAUUCUCAUUUAAACCGAAGCUAAAAAUAAUUGCAGAUAUUAGUAUCCAUUGUACCUUCUCAGUGUAAACAAAACAUAGGCAUAAUAGGAACUAUUUGGUCCUUUGGGGAAGUUGACGGAUAAAUCCUCUGAAUUUAUCUUUACAGAGUCGUGUUUUGUAUUGUUUGGAGCAUGACACGUUUGCAGCUGUCAGUUGGUCAGCACGACACUUUGAUUCAGAUGACAUGAUUUGAUAUAUGGUCAUUCUAAAUCUCGAUUUCAAACUAGAGAAUCAUACUAAUCAUAAAUCAUAUAGUGAAGUAGAGCAACAGUAGCCAUCUUUCUUGAUAGAAGGAGGAAAUUACUGUUGAGGUCAUGAGAGCUGAGGCGCAAAUGUGAAUCCUAUGGCCAAGGGAAACCGAGUUCAGGCUCAAUGGUCAACCUCCCCUCCACACACACAACAUUCACAAACAUUCAAGCAGCAUGUAAGCCUAUUCUCUUAUAUUGAUCCCCACAUCCACAGUUGCCUUUACACCUCUUCCCCCCACAGGCGCGCCACCACCAUAUUUCCAUGCCCGAGUGACCUCUGACUGGCUCCUCCACCAAGAACCUCAUCUUUACCCUGUUAGCUCCGCCGAUAUGCUAUCACCAUGUGUUCAUGAUUUAGCCUUUUCUGUUCCCCUGAUUUGUAGCUAGUCAAUGUUUUACAUAUCCUGGUGGGUCAAACUGGUUAAAGGAGAAGAUGGGCUCAAGUUAGGCGGGCAGCCAUGGUGAGGGGAAAGGGAAAUCUGGGAGAAGGCUAGGUGUGGGAAGAACUCGUAUUAUACAUGGCACGGUAUAUUCUAUUUUAGAUGCAUAUACAAAAAUGGAGGUGCAUUGGUAGAAGGCGAACUCCUACUUGUAUAAGCAGUAUAGAUAACAUCAACUGCAAGUAUAGCUUAAUUGCAUGUGCUUAUUUGAACUAUAUGAUUAAUUAGUACUUGCAUGUACAUGUUGAUAUAAGAUUGACACAAGCUAUAAGCGAUAACAAAGCAACUCGACCCCUUGGUACACCUACAUGCUUGUAUUUUAUUAGUUUCUUUUUGUAACUCACAUCAUGCAUGUACUUUGAACUAACAUAUUUUUCUGUGAUCAUGAUUUGCAGCCAAAGCGUUGGAGCUAUUUUUGCAAGACUUGUGUGAUAGGACAUAUAAUAUCACAAUUGAAAAAGGGGUCAAAACAGUGAGUUCAUCGCAUUUGUAAGUUUACUAGACCUUGUAUGUUUUGUCAGAUCAAAAUACCUUUUUGUUUGACUGGAUUGAUGAUUUAUGUGGAAGCUGUAAAAUUAUAUUCCUAGAUACAUGUUCUUGAACUGAAAGAGAAAGCUAGAUAAGCAUGUGUCUUGUGGUGGGCUGUGCUGAUUUUUGAGUAUUACUGUGUUGGUGGGGGUCCUUCAGACAUGCAGUUGGGUGGUGGCUGCAUCAUUUUCAUUUUGUAGUUAGAAAUGGGGCGUGUUUUCUUAAUGCUGAUAUGUAUUAUUUCCUUGAGGAAAACAUUUGUUUUUCUGAUGGUCCCAUUAUCUUAUUCAGUAUUAUGCUUUUACAGGAAACAGUGCAUUCAUAGUUAUGAUGUGUAUGAUUUUUUGAAGAACGUAGCCAGCAAAGUCCCAGAUUUGGGUGCACCUGAUUCUAAUGCUGAUGAUAAGCUUGGCAAAAGAAGGUAAGGUGUCAAAUUGUGAUUAAUUAGAGUGAUAUGAACUUUAAUAAUUGCUGAAAUUGCAUCAGGAAACAUGGUGAAGAUGAAAGCGAGGAGGAAACAAAGCGGACAAGAAAUGUUAGUCUUUGCGAUCCAUACCUUUCUGUAUAUGUUACACUUCUUACAUGUACUUUUUGUGAAAAGUUUUUAGUAAAUGCUCAUGACUUCCAUUUUCUCUGCUAAUUUAUGUCGCCCAUUCAACCUCCUUUUGCUGAUAAAAGUUUUGCACAUGCAGGAGGCAGCAUGCCACACAAGCAACGGCAGAGGGCGUGGGAGGGGACGCGGGAGAGGUCGCCGUGCCGGGCGUGGAGCUGAGAGGGAGAUUGAACACCAUGAAUUAGCUCGCACUGAAUUUAGCAACCCAGGCCACCUAAAGGUAGAGACUGGAGAUGGUUUUGACACAACUGAAACCAAGGAGCAUACCCCUUUGAGUAAUGCCAGGGCCUCCUUAAGGAACAUUGACUUGAACUUAGAUCUUGCUGACUAUGAGGAGGAUACAGUGGCACCACAAGCCGAUCCUGCUCCGGUGGUGAUCGUGGCGUCGCAAGUCCAGACUUCAGGGCCGUCGGUUUCACUGUUGAAAGAAGUGGAGACCAAGGAUCUCCUGGGCUGGCAACUGCCUGAGAUGAACAAGAUGGCCUUGGAUCCGGUCCAGUUUGCGCUGUCGUCAAACCAUAGAUUAGAGGAGGAGGACGAAGACUAUGACAAUGAAGAAUGACGGUGACUCCAGCGUGGAUUUAGUAGGUAGACAUGACAUGAUGUACAUCCUAGCAGGCCCAGCUUGACAAUGUAGUAGCAAUUCUCUUAGUAGUAUGUGUACCCGCAGACGCUGCAGAAGUAAUUUAGGAUGUCACAUAUGUUGAUGGCUCAGUAGCCAGUAGUAGCUAUAGUAUCUUUUGUGUAGCAACCAUAUAACUAGACAGGUUCACCGGUUGUAAAUCACGGCCGCUCUUAGAUCAGAUGGUAUGUCGCAAUGCUUAUGCUUGUUAGCUGUGGAUUUUUCUCUCUUGCUUUGGUGGUUAAUGCUGACAAUCUUGUGUUGUUUCUGUGAUGCAAGAGGUCCAGAUAUUUUGGAGGUGAAUUGCAAACUACUCCCUCCGUCCCAUCUCACGUAAUAUGAGAGCGUUUUUGACACUUGGGACAGAGGGAGUAUAAGUCAACGUGUCUGAUAGUAGGUGAAAAUACUGGGAACUCAGCAUGUUCCGUUGGGAAAAUCAGAGCAACUAGAUGAGGUAGGGAGCAGGUUUAUUUCAUCAUAUUACGCCAGUAUCCAGCGAGGCUGGCAUGUUGGAUAGGCUCGAGCCACAAGCUUCAGCUUACAUAUAAGUAUAUAACAUACUAGCAUUAUCUACAUCUUUUCAUUAGGCGGCCGGCUUGAAUUCCUGGAGCUGCUUGAAGUUCUCCCAGGCCUUCUCCCACACCUUGGCCUCGUAGAGCUUCUUGGCGCCGCCUUCCUUGACCUCGAUGGUGAAGUAGUGCAUGCACCCGGCCACCACCUGCUGCCUCACCUUCACCAGCCUCUCGAACUCCAGCAACGCGUUCUGCGCCCAAAACAGAAUUAACAG
This 38052-nucleotide long non-coding RNA is filed under the name Hordeum vulgare. Its description in RNAcentral is "long non-coding RNA (HVUL_LNC021365)". Lineage: Eukaryota; Viridiplantae; Streptophyta; Magnoliopsida; Poales; Poaceae. The record is from RNAcentral.